RNAcentral lists this long non-coding RNA (2669 nucleotides) under Panax ginseng (ginseng). The record is from RNAcentral. Lineage: Eukaryota; Viridiplantae; Streptophyta; Magnoliopsida; Apiales; Araliaceae.
AGGACAUCAAUUCAAAAAUAGGAGGCAAACUUUAUAUUUAUGUUAAAGAAGAGAAAAACAACAGUAUAUGCUUUAGGUCAAUAUUUAUCUAUGUCUGCUCAUAAAGCGCGAAGAGUAAUAGAUCAAAUUCGUGGACGUUCUUAUGAAGAAACACUUAUGAUACUAGAACUCAUGCCUUAUCGAGCAUGUUAUCCCAUUUUUAAAUUGGUUUAUUCUGCAGCAGCAAAUGCUAGUUACAAUAUGGAUUCCAACGAAUCAAAUUUAGUUAUUAGUAAAGCUGAAGUCAGCGAGGGUACUAUCGUGAAGAAAUUAAAACCUCGAGCUCGAGGACGUAGUUUUCCGAUAAAAAGACCUACCUGCCAUAUAAGUAUUGUAGUGAAAGAUAUAUCCUUAGAUGAAUAUAUAGAAGUAGACUUUCUAGACCCUCUCAGAUGGUCAAAAAAACUAAAAUCAAAAAAAAAGUAUACGGCUAUGGCGUAUCAUAAUAUGUAUAGUAAUGGGGGAGUAUGGGACAAAAAAUAAAUCCACUCGGUUUCAGACUUGGUACAACCCAAGGUCAUCAUUCCCUUUGGUUUGCACAACCAAAAAAUUAUUCCGAAGGUUUACAAGAAGAUCAAAAAAUAAGAGAUUUUAUCAAGAAUUAUGUACAAAAAAAUAUGAAAAUUUCCUCUAGCGUUGAGGGAAUUGCACGUAUAGAGAUUCAAAAACGAAUCGAUCUGAUCCAGGUCAUAAUCUAUAUGGGAUUCCCAAAGUUAUUAAUAGAAAGUCGACCGCGAGGAAUCGAAGAAUUGCAGAUGAAUCUACAAAAAGAAUUUAAGUCUGUGAACCAAAAACUUAACAUUGCUAUCACAAGAAUUGCAAAACCUUACGGAAGCCCUAAUAUUCUUGCGGAAUUUAUAGCCGGCCAAUUAAAGAAUAGAGUUUCAUUUCGAAAAGCAAUGAAAAAGGCUAUUGAAUUAACCGAACAAGCAGAUACAAAAGGAAUUCAAGUACAAAUUGCAGGGCGUAUCGACGGAAAAGAAAUUGCGCGUGUGGAAUGGAUCAGAGAAGGUAGGGUUCCCCUGCAAACCAUUCGAGCUAAAAUCGAUUAUUGUUCCUAUACUGUUCGAACUAUUUAUGGAGUAUUAGGCAUCAAAAUUUGGAUAUUUAUAGACGGGGAAGAAUAAACCUUUAUUUGUCUUUCCCUUCGAUCUAGUGAUGGAACAAAAAAGAGAAAUUCGUUCCUUUUUUCUAUUCAAUAAAAACUAAAAUGAAGAAUUCUAAUUCUUAAUUCUAUAUGGUUGAAUAAAAAUUCGAUUAGCCAUUUGAUAUAAUUGCUAUGCUUAGUGUGUGACUCGUUGGUUUUUUUAGGGUUAGGAUUCAAUAAAAAAAAAGACUAGCCUCUUACUAUAAACUAAUAACUAUAGGACUACUAACCAACUCAUCACUUCACAUUAUCUGGAUCCAAAGAACCAGUCAAGAUAUGAUAUAUCGGUCAUAUCGUUGUAGCAACUGAAAUAUUUUUUGCAUAAACAAAAGAAAAAUCAAUCUAAUUCUAAGUUAUAAAGCGAAAUAGAGAACAAAGAUGUGGAUAAAUGGAAGGGUGAAAGAAAGAGAGAGAAAAAUACCAAUGAUCUAGAAUUCCAUCCAAUAUGUAAGGUCUAUGAGUCAUCUCAUAAAAAAGGCAGUGUAAUAAAGCAUCAAUGCUGAUUCGUACAUAAUUAAAUGAAUCUGUUCAUAAAAUAAAAAAAUAAGAGCUUCGAGCCAAUAAAGACUAAGAAGAUUGACUCAAGAAAAAAUUUCAUUAUGAGCUCCAUUGUAGAAAUCAGACCUAACCAUUAAAUAAGAAGCGAUGGGAACGAUGGAACCUAUGAAUCCAAAUCUAUUGAAAACGGAUUCAUUGAUCGGGAUGGCGGAACAAACCAAAGACUAAUUCAUUCAUAUUCAUCUAUUGGGAAAAGAAAAAUCAAGAGCUAACCCUACAACUGAAAUAGCGAUGAAAAGAGUAAAUAUUCGCCUGCGAAACCUUUAUUUUCUUGGAUUGUUAAAUUUGGGUCAAUCGAAGGAAAUAAAAGACAAAACAAAAUAAAGAUUCGUUAUAACAUUAUAAAAAGUCAUACAAUAUUUAAAAUAGAAAUAUUAAUAUGUUUAGUUAUCUAAAAAAACAAGAUAUACAAACGAAUAAUAGAGAAGUUGAAGAUUUUCUUAUUCGCGAGGAGCUGGAUGAGAAGAAACUCUCACGUCCAGUUCUGUAGUAGAGAUGGAAUUCAGAACCAACCAUCAACUAUAACCCCAAAAGAACCAGAUUCCGUAAACAACAUAGAGGAAGAAUGAAGGGAAUAUCUUAUCGAGGUAAUCAUAUUUCUUUCGGUAAAUAUGCUCUUCAGGCACUUGAACCCGCCUGGAUCACAUCUAGACAAAUAGAAGCAGGUCGACGAGCAAUGACACGAAAUGCACGACGUGGUGGAAAAAUAUGGGUACGUAUAUUUCCAGACAAACCGGUUACAGUAAGACCCGCAGAAACACGUAUGGGUUCGGGGAAAGGAUCCCCUGAAUAUUGGGUAGCUGUUGUUAAACCAGGUCGAAUCCUUUAUGAAAUGGGUGGAGUAACAGAAAAUAUAGCCAGAAAGGCUAUUUCAAUAGCAUCGUCUAAAAUGCCUAUACGAACUCAAUUCAUUAUUUCGGCAUAA